AAACAAGAGGUCCAAGCAUUCUGAUUGGUGGAUAAUAGGCUAUCUUUGUCGUGAUUCCCGCUCACCCACCAGUGUAAAGCCGGAUGCUGUUGUGUGCUGUUGUGUGCUGUUGAGUGUGUUUGUGUUUCACUGUGUUCAUUAUCAGACUCACCAAUCUUCCUUAGUACUCCGCUUCAGCAGUUCAAACUAUUGACUCUUCAAGUGAAAAUGAUGUUAAUAUGUGGGUACGGUAUCUUCACGCUUCUGGCUUCGACACUAGCACUCCCCACACUGAUGGAAGACCCCCUCGCCAAGCUUGAACCUGAGGAGAAAGAAGUGCUCUACCCGUUUCCCACCUGGUGUAGACCUAAGUAACACUUUCCGAGUCUUGGUCGGAAGCGGUGGUCAUCAGGAUCUACUACGACUGCCAAGGACGCCUCGUCCGCCAGGAACUAUCCAAGCUCAGGACGAGAAAUACGGAUGGCAUGAGGGUGGAAGAACUUCAGAAUAUCCAAAGAGGUGCACCUGAAAACGAAACGGCUAAGGUAUCGGAUAUACCUGUAAGUUAUCCUUCGAUAAAGUCGAGAUUCAAAUUCCCAAAACACGCUAAGUCUACCACCACACGCCGACCACAGAUUCUGGAACAACCAGACCAGAAUGUUCCGUCAAUUGUGGAUAAAGACAUGAUCAUCGACACUCCGAUACGAUCUUGCCCUGAGGGACAAAACUUCGACAUGUUUUAACAAAUGCAGGAAGGAAUUCCCCGAGAAAAAACCCUCAGUACGGAUAAUUUAUAGCUGAACUGCUGAGGAAUGCUGAUGAGAAAACCCACGUCAGUGCUGAACCACUUACCUCCCGCCACCGUGCUGAUUCCUGACAUCGGAUUCUACAAUACCACUCCAAUCGUCCUAUUGACUAUAUUUACUGUGAUAAAUUAUACCUAACAAUAAAUAAAUUUUUUAUUUUUAAUUUCUUUCUCAUACAAUUUUGUAAACUUUGGCUGUUAUAAACAUUACUUUUCAUGUCAUAUUCUGUAGAUAUAUUUAUUUGUUUAAAGUUGGAAACUAAUUGUAUUGUUAUUAUCAAUUGACUCUUUAAGUUACAUAUGAACUGGUGUGUAAUUAUUUUAACACACAAAAAUAUCUUCUCAUUUUAUGUAUACUGAUUAUAGAUAUAAAACAUUUUUCUUCA
Long non-coding RNA from Homalodisca vitripennis (glassy-winged sharpshooter), 1170 nucleotides. RefSeq lists it as uncharacterized. The record is from RefSeq and is a predicted model, not a curated record. The transcript has 3 exons. NCBI's taxonomy places the organism in Eukaryota, Metazoa, Arthropoda, Insecta, Hemiptera, Cicadellidae.